ACAACCCUACAGAUGCAGUGGAUCCCUCCUGUCCCUUGCCCUAGCUCAGCUUCUGCUUUCUCAUAGCCUGCACUGACUCAGGCAGCUACCCACUCCCUCUUUUCUGAGUCUUCCUGCCUCAUCUCCUGUUUCCAACAGCUUAGCUUCCUCCUCAGAUCUCAGGUUCAAAUUCCUCAGAGGAAUGAAUGGCUGGCCCAACUUAAUCCCUGUCUUCCAGUUUGGGCCCCAAGCUUUUUGGGUUGAACCAGCUCUGAAAUCUCCAGCAAGUCCAUAGCUUAGCUGCUCUGAGGCGUUCAGCUGUAGAUAAGGGAGGUGGAGGGUUGUGGAACAGGGUGAGGGGAGAGCCCUUGAGCAAAAUGGCUGUCAUGACAAACACUCUGGAGCUUAGUCCAUUCAGAACUGGGGGUGACUGUCCCCUUGCCACAUUACACUUAGAAUGUGGGCUCCCAUUCCAAAUCCCAAACCAGGAGAAAGCCCUGGAUUGAGUGGUACCUUCCUGACCAGAGAAGAGAGACUGGAACAACAAGGGAACAUCACUCACAGGGACAGGGGAGGGAGAGAAGGGGCCACAGAGGACAUAAUCUCCACCUUUGCCUGCAGACAAGGUCUCCAAGCACAGAAGCUGAGCUAUUCCGGGUGGCCUGGAAGGAAGUAUCAGAACCAGGUGCUACUUACAUCUGAUAAACUCAAGUGGUGGACAGAACAGAGAGGGCCUCCUCCAAGGUGACUUGCUAAGUCCUCCCCUAACGACGAAAUAGAGAAGCUUCCUGCCCCUGUUACACAUGGCCUCCUCCCGGGCCCAGCAGCUCACCUGGACCACGGAAAGCACAGAAAGAACUGGCUGAAUGAAUCAAGAGAUCAAGUGUUCUCCCUGAGGCCCUGUAACAGCUCUGCAGCUGACUGCCCAGAAGGAAGCAGAAGUGAGUGACAAGUUGGGGGAACCAGAGCUUGCACACCAUAGGCCUGAACACUAGCCUCUGGGGAAAGGCAAGUCCAGCUGACCUUGGUGAAGUUAGGACCCGGGCCGAGGCCACCUCUUCUGGUUCACCCUCUGCUGGCCUCCCAGCUUCUUUGGCUCAGCAACACCCAGGAUUCCAGGCAUGUUUGCCUCUGGCCUUCUAAAAAUACCCAGGCCACCCAGCACCUCCCAGAUGUCUGAGCGCUGAGUCUGUGAUUUCCCUGCCGGUAAUGGGACAGCCCCGGGGUGGGCAGGCGGGGGUGGCUCGAGCAGCUCAAGCCACUUCCUCUGCCUCCCAUCCCCUAGCCUACCAGAAGCUGGACCCAGCCCUGCCUCCCAAUCCUUGCAAGGCAAAGGAGGGUAGAGGCUAGCAGACCUCAGAGAUUGUUGACUCCAGUCUCUUCUUGGGACAGAUGGGAGAUCUGAAGUCUAAGGAUUGCUCAUGGCACUUGUGCCAUUAAGGUCCUCCUCACCCCACUCCCCAGCACUGUGUUCAUGCCUGCUGCUGUCUCACUUCCCACAUGCUACUUGGAGUCUAGGUCUUGGAGCCCAACCUGACUUCCUCCAUGCAGCUGAAAGCUCCUGACAGCAGUGAAGGGGAGGAUCCCUGUGGUCUCCAUGGUGCCUGGAAGAGUGUCCAAUCCAGAGCACACCAUCAGUAAACGUAGAUUGGAUUGAACAAUGUAGUGGCAGCUGGGGCAAUGGGUGGAGCACUGGGCUGGAGGACAAAGCCUCUGAAUUCUAUCUAGCCCAGGGUCAGCCACUGUGAUACUAUGCAUCCUCAUCAAUUGCCCUGGACAAACCUGUUUCUCCUGGGCUGGAUAGGAUGGUGUCUAAGGACUGAGCCAGCUCUGCUGAUAUGAAGCUGCAAGCUGAUGCCCUGCUGGAUAUUCCUGUCCCUUCUCUGCUCUACUGUAUGUCUGGGAGAGAUGGCACAACCUGUAGGUUCCAUCAGCUCCAGGUUCUCAGCUUCUGCUCCUCCCUCCGUGCUUCUGAACAUUCCACCUCUGGUCCUAGCCCCUGAGGCCCAGCUCUUCCAAUAGUGCCACUUCCACCUCUGCUGCUGGGUACACAGGGGUGAAUGCAUACCUACCUCGCUCACUAAUCAUGUGACCUUGGGUAAGGCAUUGCCCUUUUCUGGGCUUCAGUUUUAUCAUAUCUAAAAGGGAAUAAUAAGGCCUACCUUAAAGGAGUGCUAUGAGGAUGUAGGAGAUUCCAUAGCUCAGAUGUCAGGUUAUAUAUCACCUCCUGCAGAAAGUCUCCCCUGUCCUCCCAAGGAUGGCUCAGAUAGCAUUUGUUGCUGGCUCUUCAGUUCUGACCUUCCCAUGUUCACACUAUGUGGUCAUUGGCUCUCUAUGCAUCCAUCCCCCACCAAGCUGUGGGCUCCUCAAGGCCAGGAGUCUCCAGGACCCAGUACAGGACCUUUACAGAUGAAGUGCCUGGGAACGUUUUUUGACAGACACAGUGGGUGAGUAAAGCCUGAGAGAAAGGCAAGGGGUUGUGCAGAAGUCUGGGAGUCUGAGUAAGAAGUGGCCUGACUGACAGGGCAAGUUCUGGUGGUAUGAAUAUUGACAGCUGCUUGGAGCCCUUCCCCCAUUUCCCUGCUUGGUAAAUUCAUCCUUCAAGAUCCCAGGAGAGCAUCUCCUUCCCUGAGAAACCUGAUCACUCUCCCCUCUACCACAUUACACACUCCACUGUAGGUGUUCUUUACACACCUGUCUCCCUUCUCAGAUGUGAGUUCCCUGAAGGCAAGACCCUGUUGGAUCUCACAGCACCAAGCACUAGAUCUGGCAUGAGUUAGUCAAGGUUUUGGAGCAGAAGAAUGGAUGGAGGAAAUAAUUUCUGAAUCGAACUUGGAAUUGAACUGCCUGAACUUUAAUGCCCUUUCCAGCCUUAGGGAUGAUAAUGAAUUACCAAAGUGAGAAAAAUGGAGGCGCAAGCUGUUGUCAUCCUUCCAGAGGCACCCUCCAAGUGUGUGUGGGUGAAAUGUGAGCUGGAGAGAGGAUUGACAAAGAGCAGUGAAAACAUAUUCCUGGACCCCAUUCUUUUUUUUUUUUUUUUUUUUUUUGAGAUGGAAUUUCCCUCUUGUCAUCCAGGCUGAAGUGCAAUAGCUCAAUCUCGGCUCACUGCAACCUCCACCUCCCAGGUUCAAGCGAUUCUCCUGCCUCAGCCUCCCGAGUAGCUGGGAUUACAGACACACACCACCACGCCCAGCUAUUUUUUGUAUUUUUAGUAGAGAUGGGGUUUCACCAUGUUGGCCAGGCUGGUCUCGAACUCCUGACCUCAGGUGAUCCACCUGCCUCGGCCUCCCAAAGUGCUGGGAUUACAGGCAUGAGCCACUGUGCCUGGCCUGAACCCCAUUUUUAUCUCUGGAUUUUUCUCUCUGUUGAAGAAUUGCUGCAGAAACCAUAUUCUAAGUAUAAAAGGCCUUUAGAUACCUAAGAUGAUCCCCAGAACCUUGAUGUGAAUCCAUUUACUCAUACUUUACAUUCUCACUUUACACUUUGAGCAUGAAGCCCAUGGUGAUCUGGUUGUAAAAGGUUUAAAGGUUAAUUGGCAGCCAAUGUUGGGGGUGAGAAGUUGCUGCUGCAGGCAGGCAGGUAUUCACCAAGGCAGCAGAGAGAGGAGGCAUCUGCCAGGCUGGUAGAAAGGAAAUAGAAAAAGAAAACAGGCCGAGAGCGGAGGCUCAGGCCUGUAAUCCCAGCACUAUGGGAGGCCAAGGCGGGCGGAUUGCUUGGUUGCAGUGAGCCAAGAUCGUGCACUACACUACAGCCUGGGUGACAGGGCGAGACUCCAUCUUAAAAAAUCAUAAUAAAUAAAAUAAAAAUACAAAAAUUAUCCAGGUGUGGUUGUGCAUGCUGUCGUCCCAGCUACUCGGGGCGCUGAGGCAGGGGAAUUGCUUGAACCUAGGAGGUGGAAGUUGCAGUAAGCUGAGGUCACACCCCUACACUCCAGGCUGGGUGACAGAGCGAGACUCCGUCAAAGAAAAGAAAAGAAAAUAGAAGAGAAAAGAGAAGAAAGAAAAUGGGCAAAAGCAACUAAAGGUACCACAGAUCAAAACCUUUAAGAUCAGCAUUGGGUACACCAUUGCAUAUCUGCUCUGGGCAAAUCCCUUUCUGGGCCUCAGUCUCCCCAUCCGUAAAAUGAACAGGUUUUACCAAGGGCUCUGAGGGCUUAUGAUUCUCCAGGAGUUUCCUUAUGUGAGGCCUUUCUGUCCCCAACCAUACAGAUCAGAUGAGGUGUCAUCAAAGUCAAGACUCCAAUUUCUAGGGUUUGUGGGUUAUCAGGCUUUCCUGCCACAAACUUUCCUGCCACGAACCUCCUGCUAGGCUCCUCAGGGGGAGUUCACUACUGUGGCUGUCUGGGCCGAGCCCCCAAGAAGAAACAAAACUCUCCAGGGUCUGGUGCAGAGGCUGUGGCCCAAGGUCUGCUUGCUGCCUAAGGAAGAUAUGAAAAGGAAGCCUGGCUCUGGGUGAAACGGAAGUGUCUGAGGUCUGACAGUUGCUCUCAGCAUGGUCUCUGCAGCCAGGAGGGAAGUAAAACUGUCUGGGCAUCUGGUAGUUUCUACCCUGAGAGUCCACAGGACAGUGACAAGUGGGGCCUGGUGCAGGCCUGUUCUCUGGUCCAGAGCCCUAGCUUAGGCCAGAGACAGUCUUUGGAGAGAUGCUGGCCCAAAGAUUUGGAGGGAGGGCAAAGGAGAAUACUCUGAAGCUGGUUCAUGACCUUAGGCAAAUCUCUGUGCCUCUUUGGGUCCAGUUUCUCCAUUUGCAAAAAUGGAGUUUGGGCUAAAUUUGCCUGUGCAAUAAGGGUUUCUGGAAUGGUGGGCACUGGGGAUACAGAGACAAUUUGGUUACAAGGAACCUGGAUUGUUACCCUGCUGGCAAGGGACUCACAGCCUGGUAGGACAUAGUUACAGAAUCAUUGGUUAAUUGUGAUUAUCAAUGCAUGUAUAGGUGCCGAAAAGCUGUGGACAUAGAGCAUUAAUUCAGCAUUCAUCCAGAGAUCCAGGGAAGGUUAAGCAACUUGCCCAAGGUCAUAUAGAUAUUAAGUGGUCCACCUGGGGCCAGAGUCUUGAAAGGAAGGGGAAUUCAGAAGAGGACAUGGCUAAAUAGAAGUCUGGAAGACCAGUCUGCUUGUGCUUGCUGCUGUCAUCAAGAUCUGAACAAAGUUAUGGAGACCCAGAGGAGGGGAGAUUAAUUCUGACUUAGGAGAAGGAGGAAGACUUCACAGAAGCAGAGGUUUUGAGCUGGGGUUUAAAGGGCAAAUAUGAGUUUAUCAAGUACAGAAAGGGAGAAGGGUGUUAAAAGCUGAGGGAACAGCAUAUUCAGAUGUGUGAUGUUGCUAAAAAGAGCCUGAUGAGUUGCUGGAAAAGUUGUCUGUGUGUGUUUGUGCGUGUGUAUGUAUGUGCGGUAUGUUAGGAACAAAGAGUACCUAAAAUGGGAGGACUGAGAGAUGAGGUUUCAUAGUCUGGCUGGAAUCACACAGUGAAGGGCCUUGAAUGUGUUUGGAGGGCAGUGGGCAGCCAUAAAAGGGUCUUAAGCCACGGAUGCAUGGUCAAAAUAGCCUAUUAGCAGUCUUGCUCGGGCUGCUAGGAGGGCAGAGGACCAAAGUACAGGGCUGGGGCCAGGCAGAAACAACUGUAAAGAGGCAGUGGCAGAGGAUUGAGGGUGUCAGGUGUCAGGCCUAGCCCCUGUCAAGAAAUAGAAACUUUUCAAGAGACUACAUAGGUGUGGAGGAAACAAGAAUUGAAACCUGAGCCCAGCUGUGGCUGUGGUCUGGGCAGGUGCCGUAAGCAAGGGAAGUGAAAGGGUUGGGGUGACUUCCAGUUGAAGGAGGGGGAUGGCUUGUGGGGGAUGCUAGGGGCCUGUCCUCAGGCUGGAGACCUGUUCCAGGACGGGGCAGGGUAAGGGGCUAUGCCUGACCAAGCCCCUGCCUCUUGUUCCUGCCCUCAGAGAUCCCACUUCCUUCUGCUAGGCCUUAACUCUUUCUCCUGAGAUAUUCCUUCCCUACUCCCCACCCCUCCCAGUGUUCCAUCCCACCCUUUCUAGCAUCCCAUGGUUCCUAUCCAGGUCCUGUAGGCCCUCCAGCGAGGCUGCCCCGAGCAGCUCAAGUUCCUUGGCUUCUCCUACACCAACCUGCACUGCUCAUGCUGCCUGAGCAGUGGUCUGACCAUGUUUUGCCUUGAGGCCUGUUUUAUUCUGUAGUGUUGGUUCACCAAACUAGUCACUGUUACUUCACUGUCACCUCACUGCAGCUGCAGGUGCCCCUGUCUCAUUGGGCUCUGCCCACAAGAGCUCUUGAUAAGUCAGAAUCAGACCCUCAUGUGCCCAGAGAAGCUAGCAUUGAGUAUGCCUGGCCCAAAGCAUGAACUUGGGGAGGGGCUGUUCAUGGGCUGCGCUGAUGAGUUCUUUGUUCUGGGGCAAAUCUUGACAUGAUUGUGUCUGUUUUUUUCAUUUGUUCGUUUGUUUGUUUUUUUGAGACAGAGUCUUGCCUCAUUGCCCAAGCUGGAGUGCAGGGGCACCAUCACAGCUCACUGCAGCCUGGAGCUCCUGGGCUAAAAUGAUCCUCUCACCUUAGCCUUGUGAGUAGCUGGGGCCACAGGCAUGUGCUGCCACGCUUGGCUAAUUUUUUAUUUUUUGUAGGGGUUAUGAACCACGAGGGGUGAAUUCCUUCCUGCUGGUCCCCAAAUACCUGACCCUCCACCUGGAUCUGCCCAUUCAGAUCAAUCAUCUCCAGGUGCAGGGUCAGGUAUUUGGGGACCAGCAGGAAGCAAUUCACCCCUAAUGGUUCAGAUGAAGAGACUUUAAUGAGGGGACUACUGUACUGAGGUGUUGGCAGGGUAAGAGAACAAAAAAAAGGACGUUGAGGCACCCACCCAGAGGCUGGCAACAGUGGAAAAGUCUUACGGCCCAGCACUCAAAGGGGUCAGGAAUCAUGUCCAGACCGAAGUGGAAGCCAGUUGGCAAGAAGGCCUCAUGAGGGAGCCCACAGAGGUCUGCCUCCCAGGGCACAGUGCAGGGUGUGGGUGUGGGUGCAAAUGGAGACUAACGGUCUCCAGAUAUGGCUGAAAGAUUCUCACCCAGAUGGAAUAUCUGGAAGAUGCCUCUGGCCUUGAUGCAGUCACUUCUCUGUGAUCGGUGCUGGUUUGGAGGUUUUUCCAGCUGUCCCAGAGAGAACAGGUGAAGCUUUACUUUCAGAGUAAUUCCGGUACCAUCUAGAAAGCAUGUUCUGGUCUUGAUAGUGACAGACUAGAGAGUGACAGAGGCAUGUGGGCCUCAAGGGUACAGAAUUAUCCCAAUAUACAGAGUGACAGAGGCACGUGGGCCUCAAGGGUACCGAAUUAUCCCAACAUAUAUAGUGACACAGGCCCAGAGAGAGUCAGAGCUGUGCCAAGGGUAAACAGGCCCAGGGCAGAACAUAGUAGAACACGGUGGAGGGGAGAUGCUGUGAGCUCAUGUUGGAGAGGUACACAGCAUCCAGAUUAUGGAGUUAAGGCCACACAGCUAGAGAGCAGCAGGGCCAAAGGUCCAACUGGUCAGUCUGAAUUGGAACUUGACUCAAGCUCUUAACCAAGACCCUAAGCUGACCCUGUAGAGAAAAGAGAGAAGGGUGUUAAAAGCAGAGGGAAUAGCAUGUUCAGAUGCAUGAAGUUGCUAAAGAGCCUGAUGAGUUGCUGGAAAAGUUGUGUGUGUGUUUGUGUGUGUGUACAUAUAUGCUGUGUCUUUGGAACAAAGGGUACCUAAAAUGGUAGGACUGAGAGAUGAGGUUAUGUAGGCUGGCUGGAGUCACACAGUGAAGGACCUUGAAUGUCAGGUUAAAAAGCUUGGGCUAAAUUUGGAGGGCAGUGGGCAGCCAUAAAAGGGUCUUGAGCAGUGGGUGCAUGGUCAAAAUAGCCUAUUAGCAGGCUUGCUUGGAAGCUGAUGUGCCUGUUUGUUUGUUUGAGAUGUGCAGCUUCUAAGUGCACAUCUACUUGGAAGCUGAGUGCCCAGUGUGCAGACAGGAAAGGUACUGGAGUUAGUGUGACCAAGCCCAGGGUAUCUUGUCUUUCAGACACACCCCAUCUUCUCCUUAUGGACCACUCACUCACAAACCUCCCCCGGUCACAGGCUCAGCACAGCAGGUGAGGUUAUAGGCUGAAUAUGAGCAAAGGACAGGCCUGUGCAGGCCCUUGGGCACAUCCUCCCUUAGGUUGCUGACUGGGCCUUGUAUUCCAUGACCUGGCUGCCCACACUUAAUGUUCCACUACUGUUAAACCUCUGGGUCUACAGACCUUGAAAUCCAUCCAUCUAGUGUGCCUGUUGGGUGCCACAAACAAGAUCUCCUCCCAGAAGUCUACGGGGAUGGGGACAUUGAUAGGAUGAGUGAGAUAGCCAAUAUUUGUGGAGUGUGAUAAAACCAUAAAGGACUACUGCUUUUUAAAAUUGGGAGCAGAGCCAGGUGCGGUGGCUCACACCUGUAAUCCCAGCACUUUGGGAGGUCAAGCUGGGCGAAUUGCUUGAGCCCAGGCAUUCGAGACCAGCCUGGGCAAUGUGGCAAAACCUUGUCUCUACAAAAAACAACUACAACAAAAUUAGCUAGGCAUGGUGGCAUAUACCUGAAGUCCCAGUUACUCAGCAGGCUGCGGUGGGAGGACUGAUUGAGCCCAGGGGGUCAAGGCUGCAAGCAAACUGUGAUUGCACAACUGCACUCCAGCCUGGGUGAGAGAGCAAGACCCCAUCUCAAUCAAACAAACAGGAAAGUAAGACAGAAGGAAGGAAGGAAGGAAGGAAGGAAGGAAGGGAGGGAGGGAGGGAGGGAAGGAAGGAAGGAAGGAGGAAAUUGUGAGCAGACAUUCAAGAGGGCCACCCAAGGCUACACCAUCUACCUCAUUUCACAGGAUUCUCUAUCCAAGAGAAAUAUGGAUAGAGCCAUGUUUCCAAACGUGGCUCAGGCCCAUUCAGCUUGUGGUUUUCGCUCUCUCUGUCCCUCCGCAGGGAGUGCCUGCCUCCCAUGCAUCAAGGCCUACUUCCAAUGCAGCCCUCGUGGGCCCCUCCUUUAGACAGAGGCAGUCUUCCCCCACUUAGAACAACCACAGCACUUUGAUUUUGUGCUUUGGAAUUACUCAGACUCAAACAAUCAUUAGGGAAUUCUAUAUCUUGCCUCUCCGUCUAGAUUGAGGGUACCUGUUAAUUCAACUUUUCAUUCUCCCCUCCUAGAAUACUACAGGUACAGAAAUCAUUUGCUCAAUUAAAUGGUGGCAGCCCAGUUCCCAUGAGGAAGGUCUGGGUGACUCUGGUAAUUGUGAUGGAGCGGUUAACCUCUAGACACUGGGGCAGGACCAUCUGUGUUCAAAUAGCCUACCUCUUACUAAUUGUGUGAUCUCAGGCAAGUGACUUAGCUCCAUUCUUGCAAUCAAGACCAUUGAGUGUUGUGAGAAUUAAUGGGUUAACACAGUCAAAGCCCUCAGAGCUGUGCCUGGUACCCCCUAAGCAUUCAAGAAAUGUCAGCUAUUAUUAUUACAGCUAUUAUUAGGAGCCAGCCGGGUAUGCUUAUAAACAAUUUCCCACACCCAGCAAAGCUGGAGCAGACACAUACACUGGCUUAACCCACAGCCACACUUGGAAAUGGGGGAGGGUAGGGAGCUGUAACUCUAUUUUAGAGAUGAGCAGAGGCUCAGAGAAGUCAGAAGCAUUCAUUCAUUUAACAGGCAUUUAUGGUGCGAUUUCCACAUGUCAGGCACUGCCUCUCCUCCCACUUCAAAUUCAGUGAAUCCUCAGAGUGGGGCUGGAGGCUAGGGACAGAGGACUAUGUAUUUUAAACAAGCACCCCCUGGUGAUUCUCAGCUUAGGCAAGUUGGAAAGAUGAUUGGAUUGUAAGGUCCUAAGGCAAGCAUCUUGUCAUGUUCCAAGUUUGGACCUGGGUUUUAUGGGGGAUAUCAUUUUUUGGUGGCAGAUUAGUUUAGCAGUUAACAGCACAGACCCUGUAGCCUGGUUAAUUGGGUAUACAUCUCAGUUUGCCACUGGCUGCAUGACCAUAGGCAUACCUAACCUGUGAAUGCCUCAUCUGUAAAAUGAGGCUAGUAAUAGUACCUACCUCAGAGUUGUGAGAAUUACAUUAGUUUUUUAUGCGAAGUGCUUGGAAGGCUGUCUGCCACAUAGUAACUAUUAUAAAGCAUGAGCUAUUAUUAUUAAUGUACACAGUGUAGACAAGCAUCAGACAGAAGGCCGGGGGUGGUAGAUUUGACACUUCUUACCCCACGAUUGGCUCUGCCUGUAGCGUUGGCAGUGUCUGUCUCUUCAGGGAGGCUCGCCACCUGCUCCUUUCCGCUGGAAGAGCUUUCCUGAGUUGGGGAAUUCCCUCCCAUGGCGCCCGACAGCAGCUCCUAGCAUUCUGAUGCCAUGUGCUCUGCCCACAGCAGCAUAGUGAGAAUUAGAUCACAUCUCGGGCCAAGGCUGGACUGGGAGGACAGGCAGGUGUAGGGGUUGGAAGUGUCCACUUACGAAGGCUGCAAAUGGGAGGAGGAGUGCAGACCCUGGGGAGGCUCCUCUCCACACCCUAGGCCAGCUUUGGCUGAGGGUGGUGCCGCAGACAGGGGAAGGGCGGAUGCCCACGGAGGACAGGCGGGAUGCCAGGGUGUCUGCCAGCCCUCCAGGACACUUAUUUUGGCCUGCUGCCCUCGGGCAGGGAGCAAGCAAGUGUAUUUUGUUUUGGCAUUAACUCAGCAGGCUGUGGGAAAACAGGCAGGCAGGCAUCCUGAACAGGGCCUGCUCCCUUCACAGGCCAGCCCAUGGUGGUGACAGAACUGCCACCUCUGCAUCCUGCUGUCCCUCUCCCACAACUCUCCUCUCUCUCCCCUGAUCCCUGCCUGGCCCUCCUUACCCAGCUCAGCCUGAAGGGUCCUUUCCCUGAAAGGGGCUCACAGACUUGGUAGCAUCCCAUACCUCCCAGGCUAGGCUCUGGAGAAACUCCCUGGUGGAACCCCUGGUGUUACAGAUGAGAAAACCCGGGCUAAGGGAGAGGCAGGGACUUUCCAGGUCCUCACAAUGAGUAAGGAGCAGAACUAAGAUUCUAGUGGGGCUCAAUCUCCCCCAUGGAAAUUCCUCUUUUUGUGGUUUAUUUUUUAACUUACAAAUAAAGCCAUAACAAAAUGACGGGAAACUGAAGGAAAACUCAACAAAGGAAACACACUUGUGGGCCAGCACAGUUGCAGGCACUUUACAUAAACAUUCCCAUUUGAUUCCCACUGCAACCCUGCAAAGAGCCAUUAUCUCUCCUUUAUAGACAAGGAAACCUGGCUGAAAAGAGGUUUCAAGACUUGAUCAAAAACUCUAAGCUUGGCAGAGGAGAAAUAGACAUCUAACCCAGGUUUGCUUGACCUCAGACCCCUGUAACCUCAUCCCUCCACCAAAAGUAUUUUACUCAUUGGUGCCUAAUCACAGUGCAGCUCAUGGCGGAAGGUGCUGAUCAGCGUUCAAUACAGGUGGUCACUCAACCUUCCCUGAUGUGUCCUAGGAUCAGCAGUUACUUGUUUAUGUGGCUCCUCAGCCCUUGCAGACCAUUUACCUGUUAUUUCAUUUAACCUGCACAGCCCUCCAAGAGGAAGACAGGAUGGAAUUUAUUAUUCCUAUUUUAUAGAUGUAGAAACCAAGGUUGAGAGGACAGUGAUGCGCUAGAGGUCACACUCAGUGAGUACCUGGCAGAGAUAGAAUUAGCACCGUGGUUUCCUGCCUUGUAAUGUUAAAACCAUGUGCCUAUCAGCUCCUACCAUAGCCCUGGGACUGACUGCUCAUUUACCGUACACCCCCACCCCUGCCACCCAAAGUUGUAAUAUUCCCUGGUAGGGGCAACACUUGACAAGAUAAUUCCUGGUCCCAGUGCCUGCUUCUUAGGGACUUGCCUCUGGCCUUAGAUCUCUGCUACCACCUGGUAGGAUCUGGGUCCCUAUGACCCUCCUGGCCCUGCAUGUUUCACUGCUGUGACCUUGGUCUCUGUAUUGAGAUUGGGAGCUCCUGGUGGGCAGCUCCUCACCUCAGAGACCUGCUUAUGACUAAGCCCAGGAUAAGGGCUUGUUGAGUGAUACUAUGGAAUUCAAGGCCUAGUGCCUUGAACAAACUCACUAUGUGUCUUAAGGAGAGCCCCUGCUCUCUUCUGGUGGCCACCAAUCUUGAAGUCUCAUUUACCUGUGCUGGGAUUCUGUCCUGAGAGCUGAUAGUGGAAGAGACUGGCACACUCUCACAUCAGGCUGGCAGGAGGCUGGUGUUGAGGGAAUUAGCUCAGGGAGCAAAGGCAUGGGUAGGGAAAGGUGACUAGGGGUAGGAAGGAGAUGAAUGGGGAUGGGGUCCAUAGACCACACUGUCUGCCGCAGCAUCCCCAGCUGGACUUGGUGGGGCCCAGGCAGGGAAUAGCUGGCAUCCAGACGUGCUAACAAGUAUUCCUGAGCAGUCUGUGUCAAUGCAGGUGGGGGAUAAUGACACAGAGGAAGACAGAGUAGAGAGAGCUGAUGGACCCCAACUGCAGGAACGGUCAGGGAUGCUUUGGUGCAGUGUGGGCAGGGGGACUGGCAGCUACUUUCUCUGAAGAGAGCCUUUGACGAAGUCAAACUGUCCUAGGUGCGUGCUCUGGAUGGGGAGUAGUGUGCUACUCAUGUUCUGGCCAUGCUAAAGGGCCGCUGUAUACUUUGUCUCCCUGCCAGUUUUCCCAGGAGCCCUGGAAUAUCAGAACAGCUGAUCUUCUGAUACCCAUUCAUAUACCUGCUCCAGGCCAGUUUUUGAUCCUAGCUCUGACUUAACCUUAGAAUCAUAUUCCUAAUGAAAUGGGAGACUGCACUGCAGCAUGCUGGAGGGAGAGCACAGCUUCAGAGCCAGGGGCCAGCCCUCCCUUUCCUUCACUAGCUGUGUGACCUUGGGUAGGUCAUUUCACUUCUGAGCUGCAGCCUGUGCAAUGGGGUUAUAUGUAUUAUGAGGAGUUGUUGUGAAUGUUGGAAACAAUGUAAAUAACACGCCUAUUUUAAUGUCUGGAACAUGGAAGAGGCAAAA
Molecule: long non-coding RNA, 12972 nt
Filed under: Homo sapiens (human)
Lineage: Eukaryota; Metazoa; Chordata; Mammalia; Primates; Hominidae
Description: HSALNT0178057
Source: RNAcentral